This 447-nucleotide ribosomal RNA is filed under the name uncultured bacterium. Its description in RNAcentral is "bacterial SSU rRNA". It matches the Rfam family "Bacterial small subunit ribosomal RNA", at positions 355 to 825 of the family's 1533-position model. The record is from RNAcentral.
UCGGGAAUUUUGGGCAAUGGGGGAAACCCUGACCCAGCAACGCCGCGUGAAGGAUGAAGUAUUUCGGUAUGUAAACUUCGAAAGAAUAGGAAGAAUAAAUGACGGUACUAUUUAUAAGGUCCGGCUAACUACGUGCCAGCAGCCGCGGUAAUACGAAGGGGGCUAGCGUUGUUCGGAUUUACUGGACGUAAAGCGCGUGUAGGCGGGUCGUUAAGUUGGGGGUGAAAUCCCGAGGCUCAACCUCGGAACUGCCUCCAAAACUGGCGACCUGGAGCAAGAUAGAGGCGAGUGGAAUUCCGAGUGUAGAGGUGAAAUUCGUAGAUAUUAGGAAGAACACCGGUGGCGAAGGCGGCUCACUGGAUCGGUACUGACGCUGAGGUGCGAAAGCGUGGGGAGCAAACGGGAUUAGAUACCCCAGUAGUCCCUGAGCGGGCUGGCAAGGCGCAU